This 468-nucleotide ribosomal RNA is filed under the name uncultured bacterium. RNAcentral describes it as "partial 16S ribosomal RNA". It matches the Rfam family "Bacterial small subunit ribosomal RNA", at positions 28 to 507 of the family's 1533-position model. The record is from RNAcentral.
GACGAACGCUGGCGGCGUGCUUAACACAUGCAAGUCGAACGGAAAGGCCCUGCUCUUGUGGGGUGCUCGAGUGGCGAACGGGUGAGUAACACGUGAGUAACCUGCCCUUGACUUUGGGAUAACUUCAGGAAACUGGGGCUAAUACCGGAUAGGAGCUCCUGCUGCAUGGUGGGGGUUGGAAAGUUUCGGCGGUUGGGGAUGGACUCGCGGCUUAUCAGCCUGUUGGUGGGGUAGUGGCUUACCAAGGCUUUGACGGGUAGCCGGCCUGAGAGGGUGACCGGCCACAAUGGGACUGAGAGACGGCCCAGACGCCAACGGGCGGCAGCAGUGGGGAAUAUUGCACAGUGGGCGGAAGCCUGAUGCAGCGGCGCCGCGUGCGGGAUGACGGCCUACGGGUUGUAAACCGCUUUCGCCUGUGACGAAGCGUGAGUGACGGUAAUGGGUAAAGAAGCACCGGCUAACUACGUG